CGGAGGGUGCAAGCGUUAUCCGGAUUUACUGGGUUUAAAGGGUGCGCAGGCGGAUAUGUAAGUCAGUGGUGAAAUCUCCGGGCUUAACCCGGAAACUGACCGUUGAUACUAUAUAUCUUGAAUGCUGUGGAGGUAAGCAGAAUAUGUCAUGUAGCGGUGAAAUGCUUAGAGAUGACAUAGAAUACCUAUUGCGAAGGCAGCUUACUACGCAGAUAUUGACGCUCAUGCACGAAAGCGUGGGGAUCAAACAGGAUUAGAUACCCUGGUAGUCCACGCCCUAAACGAUGAUUACUCGACAUACGCGAUAUACAGUGUGUGUCUGAGCGAAAGCAUUAAGUAAUCCACCUGGGAAGUACGAUCGCAAGAUUG
This 369-nucleotide ribosomal RNA is filed under the name uncultured organism. Its description in RNAcentral is "bacterial SSU rRNA". It matches the Rfam family "Bacterial small subunit ribosomal RNA", at positions 526 to 896 of the family's 1533-position model. The record is from RNAcentral.